This 306-nucleotide unclassified non-coding RNA is filed under the name uncultured fungus. RNAcentral's name for it is "partial contains small subunit ribosomal RNA, internal transcribed spacer 1, and 5.8S ribosomal RNA". The stretch from base 1 to 73 matches the Rfam family "Eukaryotic small subunit ribosomal RNA", at positions 1759 to 1831 of the family's 1831-position model. Lineage: Eukaryota; Fungi. The record is from RNAcentral.
GCAAACUUGGUCAUUUAGAGGAAGUAAAAGUCGUAACAAGGUAUCCGUAGGUGAACCUGCGGAUGGAUCAUUCGUGCAUGUUUGGACCUUGUGUCCAACUGCGUCUUGUGCAAUGUAUUUUGUAUGUGUGUGUGCAUGCAUUGCAAAGUGCCAUCAAUGGAUGGUUCUUUGCUGUGUGCUGCCACACAUGUGUUUUUACCUCUUACGUUGUCAUAACAUUUCUCUUAACACAGCAGUUGUUGCAUAACAAUCAGCAAAACUGCCAGCAAUGGAUCCCUCGGCUCUCGCAUCGAUGAAGAACGCAGC